GUAGACAAUACAGUCGCCGGCGACCGGCGGAGUGGGUGACGUAACGCGUAUGCAACCUACCUUAUACAGGGGAAUAACCUUUCGAAAGGGAGACUAACACCCCAUAGUAUUGAUUUAAGGCAUCUUAGAUUAAUUAAAUAUUUAUAGGUAUAAGAUGGGCAUGCGUAUGAUUAGCUAGUUGGUAAGGUAACGGCUUACCAAGGCGACGAUCAUUAGGGGUUCUGAGAGGAAGGUCCCCCACACUGGUACUGAGACACGGACCAGACUCCUACGAGAGGCAGCAGUGAGGAAUAUUGGUCAAUGGGCGCAAGCCUGAACCAGCCAUGCCGCGUGCAGGAAGACGGCCUUAUGGGUUGUAAACUGCUUUUACAUAAGACUAACCGUAUAUUUGCGAAUAUACCUGAAUGUAUUAUGAGAAUAAGGAUCGGCUAACUCCGUGCCAGCCGCCGC
RNAcentral lists this ribosomal RNA (450 nucleotides) under uncultured bacterium. Its description in RNAcentral is "bacterial SSU rRNA". It matches the Rfam family "Bacterial small subunit ribosomal RNA", at positions 72 to 518 of the family's 1533-position model. The record is from RNAcentral.